Molecule: non-coding RNA, 858 nt
Organism: Myodes glareolus (Bank vole)
Lineage: Eukaryota; Metazoa; Chordata; Mammalia; Rodentia; Cricetidae
Source: RefSeq, a predicted model, not a curated record
GGCUUUUCCACAAAAGCAGUCAAAAGCUUAGGAUCAGAACUGAACAACCCGCUUUGGGUUAUUUGGAAGAGUUCUUCUGGCCUAUGACCUGUGGCAAUUGGCUGCAGACAUGAAAGCAUCUUGUGCCGUGGACCUUCAAGACUUCCUGAAUUCAACUUUUUGGGUUCUCCAACACUCAUCACCAGGCUCACUGAUGUUGGGUAAGGGGCAGUAGUAUUCUGAAAGAAAAGACCCCAUGUCUAAGACAAAGACGGACUGCAAAUGGAUAGGAUACAAACAGGAAGCUAUUUCCAGCAGAGAAGUAAAUCCCAGGUAGAACAAACUGAUGCCCUUCAUGUAUCUAAAAUCCCAGCCUCUUACAUCUUUCCCACUAAUUUUCUCAAGACUGAAGUGCCUGAACAGGAAGCUAACAGGGUUAAGACAAACUGCAGAUGGUUAAAUUCUAGCCAAACAGCACAAGAUUCUGAAGUAAUGGAAUUAAAGAAAGUCUGUCCAGAAGUAGAAACAGAGAAGACUCAUGGGGAUUAGAGAUAGUGUAGUGCUUCUCAAAGCAAGCUUUUAAAAGUAUAAAAUCAUUGUCCUGAAAAGUAUGAGAGAAAUAGACUUUGCACAGUUCCUUGGAGUUAAGCAAACACACAUAACUUUUUUUAUUCAUUUUAUUGAGCGAUACAUUUUUCGAGGAAGGGAGGGGAGUAGAGCAAACACACAUAAUUUAAAGACUAUUCUGACGCCUUGGGUUGUGAAAGUGUAUUAUUCCCAUCCUGACAUUCAAUCACCGUGAGUGGUUCCACAGUGGAUGCUGACCUCACUCUAACAUACACUAUGUUUGCCAGUGACAGACUUGGAUUACAAUUCAUU